Molecule: ribosomal RNA, 253 nt
Filed under: uncultured bacterium
Lineage: Bacteria
Description: partial 16S ribosomal RNA
Rfam family: Bacterial small subunit ribosomal RNA
Source: RNAcentral
UACGGAGGAUGCAAGCGUUAUCCGGAAUCAUUGGGUUUAAAGGGUCCGUAGGCGGUUUUGUAAGUCAGUGGUGAAAGCCCAUCGCUCAACGGUGGAACGGCCAUUGAUACUGCAAGACUUGAAUUAUUAGGAAGUAACUAGAAUAUGUAGUGUAGCGGUGAAAUGCUUAGAUAUUACAUGGAAUACCAAUUGCGAAGGCAGGUUACUACUAAUAUAUUGACGCUGAUGGACGAAAGCGUGGGGAGCGAACAGG